This 238-nucleotide ribosomal RNA is filed under the name uncultured bacterium. Its description in RNAcentral is "partial 16S ribosomal RNA". It matches the Rfam family "Bacterial small subunit ribosomal RNA", at positions 15 to 245 of the family's 1533-position model. The record is from RNAcentral.
GAUCUGGCUCAGGAUGAACGCUAGCUACAGGCUUAACACAUGCAAGUCGAGGGGCAGCAUGAACUUAGCUUGCUAAGUUUGAUGGCGACCGGCGCACGGGUGAGUAACACGUAUCUAACCUUCCGUUUACUCAGGGAUAGCCUUUCGAAAGAAAGAUUAAUACCUGAUAGUAUGGUGAGAUUGCAUGAUAACACCAUUAAAGAUUUAUUGGUAAACGAUGGGGAUGCGUUCCAUUAGG